UCCUGCUGGCCCCUGUCUGUCUCUGUUCUGUCUGUUAGUUGAGUAGAUGCCUGUGUUGUGUUUGCAGCUUGUCUGUCCAUCAUCACUUAGUGGCCUGAGAAUGUUGAUUAGAGGCUGCGUCUGAAUCCUGCAGAUCCGCCUAAAUCUCUGAGGACAGACGAGUGCAGAUUAACAGCCCACACACGCGCGUGUUUCUGCUACAGCUAACGUGCACGUUGGUGUUGAUCAGGUUUCCCUGGAUCUUUGGUGUCAGGAUAAACUCUGAUGUGUGGGUAAAGGUGGUAGCGCCGUCACGUCAUCAUCAGUGAAAGCACACACAGAUUCUUUUGCAUUGUUUCAGCCAUAUUAGUAAGAGGAUGUGCACAGUUUUCAGGGUUAAGAAGACAAGUUUAAAACUGAAGGUAGGUGCGUGUUUGUGUGUCGCAAUGGUCUGAAUGCACCACAUUAGUAUCCACCUCAUGUGGUGUGAAGCUGGACCAGUGUUUGUAUGUCAGUGAGUGUGGUUACAGACUUAUCUGUAAAUACAGACAAAACGUUAUCAGUCAGUGGUGUCUGAUGUCAUAGCGACAAUACGGAUCUGGCUCAAGUCUGACGGGAGGCUAACUGGUGUGAUGUGCUGGUCACCGUCGAGUGAUUCUGAUGCUGUACUUUGGCAAAAAACAUUCUAG
This is a long non-coding RNA of Thalassophryne amazonica, 668 nucleotides long. RefSeq lists it as uncharacterized. The record is from RefSeq and is a predicted model, not a curated record. NCBI's taxonomy places the organism in Eukaryota, Metazoa, Chordata, Actinopteri, Batrachoidiformes, Batrachoididae. The transcript has 3 exons.